GAGUACUGAAGAAGCAUCCAAUGCGCCCCGUGGAGGCCCCCUUGCUUGCUUUUAUUGGGAGUGCGCCUUACUUGCCAUAGCAAAAGGGAGAGAGAAAGAGAGGCGGGGUGAGACCGUGGGCGUUCGCCUAUCCAUGCUGCUUUGCCACGCCGUAGGCCUUCUCGACUUGGGUGAGCUCCUUCCGUGUGUGCUCGAGCCGUUGAACUGGCGGAGACCCUCUUCACACCAUCCCCACUCCUCGCCACAUAUCGUCUGCCGGUGCUUGAGAGCGAGCAGAGAAACGGAUCGGCCUUUCAUGCGAUUGGGCUUCGCGAUUGAGCCGUGUUUCUACAUUCGAUUGCCCACUUGUUGUGUCCCUUUUCGUGCACGUUCUCCAUCAUGCGCGCUAGGCCCAAUCCCUCUCUCCUUUCCGAGUACUACCCAACGAGUAGCAGCUCUCUGGAACAGCACACGCACCUGCGCAUCCUAUGGCUUCCGCUUUCAGUGUGCUUUCUGUGGAGCGGCGAAACGCUUCACGCCAAGUCAGUGACCGGUGCAGCGGCGACGACGACGGCGGCGGCGGCAGCAGCAGCAGACGCUUGCACAGCGUCGCCGACUAGAGGCUCCUCUCCAACCGCAAGCAAUAAAAGCUUGCCAACGCCGUCGAACGCGAGCAUUGGCCGCGUUUCCUUUUUGAGAGGCCGAAACGCAGAAGCCUUUGCGGGCGUCGAUGAAACCGUGAGCGGCUACGAGGUGGCACUGCGGCGUAGUCUUACCCUGCACCCACCUGUUUCAGCCUCGGAGCUCUCCUGGGCCUUGUUCCCCGCGGCGUCCAGCAUCUUCGCAUCGCCCAACACGUCUGGCGAGGAAAGCGGGCGCGAAAAGGGACUCUCGCUUGUUGACCCAUCCGCAUCGUUGCCGUUUUCUCUCACCAGCGACCUCGGCACUUCCCAUUGGGAGAAUAUGGACAGCCAUCGCGCCACCAUGGCCGUAGUGGUUGUGGUCAACGCCGCCGUCCUCACCGUCUCUGUCGAGCACGCGGUGCAGGUCGUCAGCAUCAUAUUCACUUCGCAGUUCAAGGAUAAGGUGUGCCGCUGCGUCGUGGUGGAUCCUCCCGAAGCGCUCGCCGAAAAGCUCUCGAGCUCGUCUCUGUAUCUGUGCGUCUCAGAGUCCAUACCAGUGAGCCAGACCGUGCGGAAGCUACUCCUGUGUGUGGCGCAGGCGGUGGUCGAUGCCCAAGGCACCGCGCUGCGGCGUUACAGUCAGCUCGACAAGGCAGAUAACACGGCCGUACGAACGCCCAUUGAUAAGCUCGCCACAUUCACAACGGCGCGCAACGCGAGCACGUUGAUUGCCUCCCGCUUCAAGAAGAAAGCGGCGGACGUACUCCUGCAGUUUGGCGCUGUGGCUGCCGCUGUGGCCGUGUACGGUGAAACUCAGUUUAACUCGAAUGUCGACUGUCUCUGGUGCUCAGCAACGUUAGAGAGCAUUGCUGCCGCUCGGUAUCGCUAUCUGCAGACGACGCUACUCUGCCACCGCGACGCGCUUAACGCCACAGUCCUGCAGCUUCAGAGCGACAACCCCACCUGGGGACCGGACCUGGCCGCCUCCGUGAACCAGCUCGACUCUUGUGUGGCGCAGUAUAGUGAGAGUCUGAAGCAGACGAUAGCGAGCUUCAAGAGCGCAUCGGUGCCCAACUCGAUGCGGGCGCGACUGACGCGCGAAGUGGAGGAAAAUGUGGCGGCGCAGGUCGCGCUACUGAAGGGGCUUCUCGUGCGAGUGCACGUGUGCUUGAACGCUGGUACGUGGGAAGUGCCGUGCGACCCGCAGUCGUAUCGCCUGGGCAGCGACGUGAAGCGUUGCGUCGAGAAUGUGCUGCGCCUGGCGUUCAGUGAAAUCGACGUCUAUUUGAGCGAGUCACUGCGGCAGCUGAGAAGGUGCGCAGCAGCGGGUACGCUGAUGUUCUACCCCUCAGCCGUGGCGGCAACCACCUCGCUCCUCGGCAGCGGAGGCACGAGUAACGCAAUGGUGAAUACGACUCUCGCCAUGCUGCGAAAGCGGGAGUUGGAGGCGCGCUUUAAGCGACUCGAGCUGCUCGCUGCACGGGAAGCACGGCAGCCUUUCCUCGAGGAGUUGAGCACAUUGCGCAGUCUCUUCCCUGGCAUCUACGGAGCCGAGUGGACGGAGCGCAGCCUACCCUUCUUUGCGUACUUGUGCAUGAUCAACGGUGCUGAGCGUCGCGCGCGGGCGCUGCUGGUGGAAUUCGCCUCCAUCAAGGCACGUCUGCAGCACACGGAAGAGGCUGCCGAGGUGCUCCUGCGCGUGUGCGCACUGGCUGGCGUUGGACUCCCGCUUAUCGGGCUUCAAGCCUCGAGCAGCACUGCAAGCGACGACGGGGUCACCCUAGAUACUGCCAAAUCGGCGGACCCGCUGUAUCAGCUUAGCCGCGCAGCGACCGCCACACAAGUUGCGCAGCAGGUGGAAGACAGCGAUGCUGUCGAGCCGGCGGCGAACGGGAACACGCCAAUAGGCGCAUCCUUUAGCAUGUUCAGCUCCGUGGAAGAAAAGGCUCCCGAUCGCGGCGUCGUACGGCUGAAUCAGUCGAUCACCAACGCGGCGCUACUGAACGUGCCACUGCUGCUCGAGCUCAUCAACGUCUUCGAUCGCGUGGCCCCUGCGACGGCCACGGCGGCGCUGCGUUGUCAACUGGCGACGCUCCUCCUCUUCAAGUUUCCGCACCUCCUCGAGAAAGCAACGCAGCGGACCCUCAAAUCCGUUAUGCGUGAAGCGUCCGCGCUGCUCGAGCCGCAGAUGAGCACAGCCAUUGUGCCGUCCCCGUUCUUUCUGGCGUGGGAAGCUUUCCCGCUGCCGCCGCAUCUCGCACCCAAGACGGUGCCUGUUGGGGGUGCCUUCUUCACCUUCAUUGACACGCAGCGGCUGAAGCUGACCAUCCUCUGCCUGAAUGGCAGGAAACUGGGUAGUCGGACCGUGUGGACGGUCGGCGACGUCGCGUCCGUUCUGAUGACGUUGUACAACCCUUUUCAGGAAUCCCUCACGUUUGACGCACUGGCCUUGCGCUGCCGCUCCUGUGCUUCUCUCGUCGCGGACGACGACGAUGCCUCCUCCGGAGAAGGUGUGGUGUCGGCCUCUUCGUCGCACACGCUGAGCGCGCCCAUCUCGUAUGUGUUGUCGAAUGUAGAGGUGCCCCCGCUCGCGAAGCGCAAGGUCUUGCUCAAGGUGCAACCAACCGAAGAAGGUACCCUGCUUAUCGACGGCGUAACGCUGCGGCUGGCAGACACACGCUCGUCGCAGUCGAUGACCGGGCAGCUUCCGGCACCCAUGUACAUCCCGGUACUGGAGCGAUUACCGCAGGUGUCCUGCACCCUAAACACGAGCGAGCUGGAGGUGUUCGGAACCCAACGCAUCGACUUCACGGUGCGGGUGGUCAACUGCGGCCGCGUACCCAUCAGCUGCAUCUCCCUCACGGCGCACAGCGAGCAGUGCCAGCUGGAGGGCUGUGAAGGCUGCAAGGAGCGCCGCAAUGAGACAGACACAACGGUGACGCUGAACAAGCGCGCCCUCGACGCUGCGGCGCGCACACCGCUGCAGCCUGGUGACGUCGUCAUGAUUCCAGGAACCCUGGAGGCGCCACCGACAAUAAGCAAAUUCGGCGCGCACUACGUUAUCUUCCGCACCGAUCUCUCACUACCCCAUCCUGCGCCGCAAAAGCCGCGCAACGUGCCGGACGCCGUGCCCGUGUACGCGGUCAUCCCGCGGCGCGUGACGGAGACGCGGCUGCGCCUGUUUCAUUCUCCCGGUCUCGUCGUCACGUCUGUGGCGCUAACAAAGGACCGCCGUGCGGUGGAAGUGCGCGUCGCGAAUCGAAGUCGCCUCUACAGCAUGGAGCUGCAGCUGAGCGCCCUGACAUUUGCAGAGCUUCCGGUCGCCUUCAUCGUCGCCGGUGCCGAGUACGUGGUUCCGCCGAUAAAGCUGACGCGCAUUCCGCCGACGAAGGAAAAGGACGGCCUGCGUUUCCAUGUACCGUGGGUCGUGCGCGAACUACCUAAUUGCACUGGCACGCUGGAGCUGAACUUGUCGCUCAUUGGCACUGAGGUGGUGAGCGCGGAGCCGCUGGACGAGUGUGUGGUGACUCUCGAGGCCAGCGUGCCGCAGACAGCACUGCCGCCGCAUCCCUCCGACGCCUGGUCAUCGUCGGCGCUCCCUGACGAAAGCAGAGACUACGUCGUCGCCGAAGACCCGCAGACGGAUCCGUUGGGCGACGGAGCGGUGCUGCUCUAUCGGUGGGAGUACGACGGAGACUCCUCCUACGGCGGAGCAGAGACAAGCCCUGUCGUUUCUCGUGCCAAAGUCUGCCGCGGCGCCCGCCUCUACGACGCCACAGGCACCGUCACGGCGACAGCCGUGUACGACAGCCCUCCGCAGUCGCCGCCGACGGCAGUCCAGCACCUGACGCACCCAAGGGCAGCGCCGGCGUCAGAGUCUCUCUUGGAUUCGCCAGCCUCGAUCUCCGCUUUGUUGUGGCGCCACACAGAUUCGAUGGAUUCGGGUGCAAAAGCGAGCGCUAGUGCACCGCAGGCUUUGCAUCGAGCCAGGACUGCGCUACCGCGAAUCGGCGGCUGUGAGAGUGGCACGCUCAGCACUCGCGGCGACGGCACCCCAGUACCGAUCGUCAUCCCUGCCUUAAGACCGAUUUGUCUGUGCCUGCGUGUUGCAGCUCCGCGGUGGCGCCGCGCCAUCCCCCUUCACGUGCACGUGUCCAUUGACUCGCACUUUGACGUGGCGGUGCUAACUGGUGCCGUGCAGGCCGAUGCAAUAGUCGGCGAGGAGGGUCGAGCGGUGUACGAGGGCGAGUUUGAGCUGUUCGCCUUCAAGACCGGAGAGCAUCUCCUGCAUGUCACCAUUACGGACGACGCCGAGCGGGAGCUGACGCACACGAUCCAGCUGAUUGUGGAACACGCACGCAUGUCAUGACCAGCGGCACGUUGACAUAGACGCACACGCAAGCACACGCGACGGCUCAUUCAAAGAGCGGGCGCUGUCAAGUGAUUUGCGGACGCACGUGUGACGAGAGACGAGGAGGUUCGUGGCCUGUGGGAAAGGGGGUGGGGAUCACGCGGCGCGCUCUCUUGACCCAGAGAGGCAGCGGCGAGAGCGCGUGAAGUGAAAGCCGUCAACGGUGCGCUCAAUGUUCUGCUCUUGGGUUGGUGAUGUUGUGGAGCGAGAUCGCCUUUUUCGUUUGCUUGUUUGUGUUUGCCUGUGCCUGUGUAACGCCUUGUUGGAGUCACCCCAAUGGAUGACGGCGUUGCCAGGUGUGUGUGCGCACCAUUCGCGCC
Molecule: unclassified non-coding RNA, 5333 nt
Filed under: Leishmania donovani
Lineage: Eukaryota; Euglenozoa; Kinetoplastea; Trypanosomatida; Trypanosomatidae
Description: gene:LdHU3.35.3490(CDS-product:Transport_protein_ Trs120_or_TRAPPC9_TRAPP_II_complex_subunit_putative)
Source: RNAcentral